GUAGGGAAUAUUGCGCAAUGGGGGAAACCCUGACGCAGCAACGCCGCGUGAGUGAUGAAGGCUUUCGGGUCGUAAAGCUCUGUUGCAAGGGAAAAAGAAAGUGAUUGUACCUUGCGAGGAAGGACCGGCAAACUUCGUGCCAGCAGCCGCGGUAAUACGAGGGGUCCUAGCGUUGUUCGGAAUCAUUGGGCGUAAAGCGCUCGUAGGUGGCUUAGUAAGUCGGGUGUGAAAGCCCCGGGCUCAACCCGGGAAGUGCACUCGAAACUGCAUAGCUUGAGUACGGUAGAGGUGAGUGGAAUUCCAGGUGUAGUGGUGAAAUACGUAGAUAUCUGGAGGAACAUCGGUGGCGAAGGCGGCUCACUGGACCAGUACUGACACUGAGGAGCGAAAGCAUGGGGAUCAAACAGGAUUAGAAACCCCGGUAGUCC
This 428-nucleotide ribosomal RNA is filed under the name uncultured bacterium. Its description in RNAcentral is "bacterial SSU rRNA". It matches the Rfam family "Bacterial small subunit ribosomal RNA", at positions 354 to 796 of the family's 1533-position model. The record is from RNAcentral.